AGAUAUAUAUUUUUUAUCCAACAAUAGAGUUCCAUUAAAUGGAAAACAAAAACAGUGGGAGGACAUAACUUUACAAGGAAAACCUAUUACUAAUCAGGUUGUUUGUCCAAUCAAUAAAAGAAAACCCAUCAGCAUAGGCUGGUUGAGAGAGGAUGACUUUCUUGGCGAAUUCAUGUACCACCCAAUUACAUUCUCGAAAUGCAUAACAAAAGAACAAAAUCAGAAGACUUCCCUUAAGAGCUGGAUGUCCUAGCAGACUGCUUGGGAAUUCAUAGAAACGGCUUGGUUUCCGUUGAUAGCUUGGAUAAGUCUCGACAGUCGCUUUCAAUGAUAACUCGCAUGCAUCCUUUGCUAAUACGAAAAUCGACAGCCUCCCUAAUUGCUAGUGCUUCCAAGGUUGUGGGGCUUGAGGUUCCUUGGAUCUUUCUUCCAAGGGCGUACAGGACAUUGCCGGACCACCAGACCAAUAGCUCUAACGUUUUGGGAUAUUUCACAGCUAUAUCACAGUUUAUCUUCAUAAUUGACGGAUGAGGGAGACUAUUCCACAUUGUUUUCUCUAAGGGCUCUAGGAGGAUCUGUUCCAUGGUCCUUUCGGAAUUCUUCGAA
RNAcentral lists this long non-coding RNA (606 nucleotides) under Ricinus communis (castor bean). RNAcentral describes it as "long non-coding RNA (RCOM_LNC001105)". The record is from RNAcentral. Lineage: Eukaryota; Viridiplantae; Streptophyta; Magnoliopsida; Malpighiales; Euphorbiaceae.